RNAcentral lists this ribosomal RNA (473 nucleotides) under uncultured fungus. RNAcentral's name for it is "eukaryotic LSU rRNA". The stretch from base 161 to 311 matches the Rfam family "5.8S ribosomal RNA". Lineage: Eukaryota; Fungi. The record is from RNAcentral.
AAGUCGUAACAAGGUCUCCGUAGGUGAACCUGCGGAGGGAUCAUUCAUGAAUGACCACGGUCUUCAACCAUUCUACCCUUGUGGAGUAUCAGUCGUGCCUUCGGCCCUCUGGGCCGGCUUUAAUGCGGUUGACUUUGUCUGACACAUUGAUGAAAAUCAAAACUUUCAACAAAGGAUCUCUUGGCUCUUGCAUCGAUGAAGAACGCAGCAAAGCGCGAAAUGUAUUGUGAAUUGCAGAAUUUGUGAAUCAUCGAAUCUUUGAACGCACAUUGCGCCUCCUGUUACAGGGAGGCAUGCCUGUCUGAGCGUCGGUUAAACCCAUAUGCCCGUGCAUGUGUUGGGCCCUCGCCGGCGACGGCGUGGCCUCGAAGCGAUAGGCUUGAGAGCGGAUGAAGUCCCCUGGGAUCGACCGCCCUCCGCCAUGGUAUCUGACACUAGACCUCAGAUCAGGUAGGACCACCGCCUGAACUUAA